UACGGCUGGGACACCGCCGGUCUGUCGGCUGACCCGGAGACCUUCAAGCGCUACCGCGAGCUGGAGCUGAUCCACGCCCGCUGGGCUAUGCUGGGCGCUCUGGGCUGCAUCACCCCCGAGCUGCUGGCCAAGAGCGGCACCCAGUUCGGCGAGGCUGUCUGGUUCAAGGCCGGCGCCCAGAUCUUCUCUGAGGGCGGCCUGGACUACCUGGGCAACCCCUCCCUGGUGCACGCCCAGAACAUCGUCGCCACCCUGGCCGUUCAGGUGAGGGGCUAUGGCAGGCGGAUGUGUGAAAGCCGGGUAUGCGAAGAAAGCUAUAUGCGCGAUGCUGUGGGAAGGGUGCAUGAUCUUGGUUGUGCACACAGCGCUCCAGCGUUGCCAGCGGGAGCCACCCAGCCAAAAGCACCGGCGCUACACGUCCUUGUACUCCCUACUUUCACCGCACUAACCGCACCCCUCUGCUUGCCCUGCUCCAUAGGUUAUCCUGAUGGGCCUGGUGGAGGGCUACCGUGUCAACGGCGGCCCCGCCGGCGAGGGCCUGGACCCCCUGUACCCCGGCGAGUCGUUCGACCCCCUGGGCCUGGCUGACGACCCCGACACCUUCGCUGAGCUGAAGGUGAAGGAGAUCAAGAACGGCCGCCUGGCCAUGUUCUCCAUGUUCGGCUUCUUCGUCCAGGCCAUCGUGACCGGCAAGGGCCCCAUCCAGAACCUGGACGACCACCUGUCCAACCCCACCGUGAACAACGCGUUCGCCUUCGCCACCAAGUUCACCCCCUCCGCGUAAAUUCUGUUCUCAUGACUUCAAUCAGUCAGUGAGCGGCAUUUGUUGCGUCUUUUUGAAAGCGUAAGAGCGGACGAAGUGUAUGAGGAGCAAGCGAGAUCGCGUCGCGUCGUGAUGGAGUUGAUGGUGUGAUGCAGGCGGAUGGAGGCGGAGAAUGAUGUGUGCCGUGUGUCGUUUACCUAGAGAAGACAAUUUUUAAACCGCAGCGUUUGUGGUUUACGCGGUCCCGUGGUGCGCGCAAAUGCGUAUGCCCCCCGUGUAAU
This 1044-nucleotide long non-coding RNA is filed under the name Chlamydomonas reinhardtii. RNAcentral's name for it is "long non-coding RNA (CREI_LNC000399)". Lineage: Eukaryota; Viridiplantae; Chlorophyta; Chlorophyceae; Chlamydomonadales; Chlamydomonadaceae. The record is from RNAcentral.